AGAGUUUGAUCAUGGCUCAGAUUGAACGCUGGCGGCAGGCCUAACACAUGCAAGUCGAGCGGAAACGAUCCUAGCUUGCUAGGAGGCGUCGAGCGGCGGACGGGUGAGUAAUGCAUAGGAAUCUGCGGUAGUGGGGGAUAACCUGAGGAAACUCAGGCUAAUACCGCAUACGUCCUACGGGAGAAAGCAGGGGCUCUUCGGACCUUGCGCUAUCGGAUGAGCUUAUGUCGGAUUAGCUGGUUGGUGAGGUAACGGCUCACCAAGGCGACGAUCCGUAGCUGGUCUGAGAGGAUGAUCAGCACAUCGGGACUGAGACACGGCCCGAACUCCUACGGGAGGCAGCAGUGGGGAAUAUUGGACAAUGGGGGCAACCCUGAUCCAGCCAUGCCGCGUGUGUGAAGAAGGCCCUCGGGUUGUAAAGCACUUUCAGUGAGGAAGAAGGCUUGUCGGUUAAUACCCGGCAAGAAAGACAUCACUCACAGAAGAAGCACCGGCUAACUCCGUGCCAGCAGCCGCGGUAAUACGGAGGGUGCGAGCGUUAAUCGGAAUUACUGGGCGUAAAGCGUGCGUAGGCGGCUUGAUAAGCCGGUUGUGAAAGCCCCGGGCUCAACCUGGGAACGGCAUCCGGAACUGUCAGGCUAGAGUGCAGGAGAGGAAGGUAGAAUUCCCGGUGUAGCGGUGAAAUGCGUAGAGAUCGGGAGGAAUACCAGUGGCGAAGGCGGCCUUCUGGACUGACACUGACGCUGAGGUACGAAAGCGUGGGUAGCAAACAGGAUUAGAUACCUGGUAGUCCACGCCGUAAACGAUGUCGACUAGCCGUUGGGGUCCUCGAGACCUUUGUGGCGCAGUUAACGCACUAAGUCGACCGCCUGGGGAGUACGGCCGCAAGGUUAAAACUCAAAUGAAUUGACGGGGGCCCGCACAAGCGGUGGAGCAUGUGGUUUAAUUCGAUGCAACGCGAAGAACCUUACCUACCCUUGACAUCGUGCGAACUUUCCAGAGAUGGAUUGGUGCCUUCGGGAACGCACAGACAGGUGCUGCAUGGCUGUCGUCAGCUCGUGUUGUGAAAUGUUGGGUUAAGUCCCGUAACGAGCGCAACCCUUGUCCCUAUUUGCCAGCGAUUCGGUCGGGAACUCUAGGGAGACUGCCGGUGACAAACCGGAGGAAGGUGGGGACGACGUCAAGUCAUCAUGGCCUUACGGGUAGGGCUACACACGUGCUACAAUGGCCGGUACAAUGGGUUGCAAAGCGGCGACGUGGAGCUAAUCCCAUAAAGCCGGUCUCAGUCCGGAUCGGAGUCUGCAACUCGACUCCGUGAAGUCGGAAUCGCUAGUAAUCGUGCAUCAGAAUGGCACGGUGAAUACGUUCCCGGGCCUUGUACACACCGCCCGUCACACCAUGGGAGUGGACUGCACCAGAAGUGGUUAGCCUAACUUCGGAGGGCGAUCACCACGGUGUGGUUCAUGACUGGGGUGAAGUCGUAACAAGGUAGCCGUAGGGGAACCUGCGGCUG
RNAcentral lists this ribosomal RNA (1513 nucleotides) under Halomonas caseinilytica. RNAcentral's name for it is "bacterial SSU rRNA". It matches the Rfam family "Bacterial small subunit ribosomal RNA". The record is from RNAcentral. Lineage: Bacteria; Pseudomonadati; Pseudomonadota; Gammaproteobacteria; Oceanospirillales; Halomonadaceae.